Triticum aestivum (bread wheat) is the source of this 69-nucleotide non-coding RNA. The record is from Rfam. Lineage: Eukaryota; Viridiplantae; Streptophyta; Magnoliopsida; Poales; Poaceae.
UCCAUUGCCUAGUUGGUAGAGCACAAGGCUCUUAACCUUGUGGUCGUGGGUUCAAACCCUAUGAUGGAG